UGGGGAAUAUUGGACAAUGGGCGAAAGCCUGAUCCAGCCAUGCCGCGUGUGUGAAGAAGGUCUUCGGAUUGUAAAGCACUUUAAAGUUGGGAGGAAGGGCAGUAAGUUAAUACCUUGCUGUUUUGACGUUACCGACAGAAUAAGCACCGGCUAACUCUGUGCCAGCAGCCGCGGUAAUACAGAGGGUGCAAGCGUUAAUCGGAAUUACUGGGCGUAAAGCGCGCGUAGGUGGUUCGUUAAGUUGGAUGUGAAGGCCCCGGGCUCAACCUGGGAACUGCAUCCAAACUGGCGAGCUAGAGUACGGUAGAGGGUGGUGGAAUUUCCUGUGUAGCGGUGAAAUGCGUAGAUAUAGGAAGGAACACCAGUGGCGAAGGCGACCACCUGGACUGAUACUGACACUGAGGUGCGAAAGCGUGGGGAGCAAAACAGGAUUAGAUACCCUGGUAGUCCACGCCGUAAACGAUGUCAACUAGCCGUUGAAUCCUUGAGAUUUUAGUGGCGCAGCUAACGCAUUAAGUUGACCGCCUGGGGAGUACGGCCGCAAGGUUAAAACUCAAAGGAAUUGACGGGGUCAUAGCUGUUUCCUG
RNAcentral lists this ribosomal RNA (587 nucleotides) under uncultured bacterium. Its description in RNAcentral is "partial 16S ribosomal RNA". It matches the Rfam family "Bacterial small subunit ribosomal RNA", at positions 355 to 1376 of the family's 1533-position model. The record is from RNAcentral.